UUUGAUUGAAAAUUUUAGGAUUGAAUGGAUAGUUUAGGAUAUAUAAGUUAGGAUUGUUGUUUGGAUUGUUGUUUUAGUUUUUUUUUGGAAUUAUUUUGUGUUUUUGUUAAAAUUCAAAACGUUUUACUAUUUUUAAAACGUUUUUUGAUUUUUAAAAACGUUUUUCAAGUUUCCAGUAAUAAACUAUGUAUAAUAAAACGUUUUUAAAAAAUUUUAAAAAUAUUUUACAGCAUUUUUCUAUAUUUAUAAAAUUUUUAUAAUUUUGUAUACAUAUAUAUAUAUAUAUAUAAAUCAUGUAUAAUUAAAAAUUUUAAAAUUUUUAUAAUUCUUUAUAAGUUUCCA
This 342-nucleotide long non-coding RNA is filed under the name Brassica rapa (field mustard). RNAcentral describes it as "long non-coding RNA (BRAP_LNC003587)". The record is from RNAcentral. Lineage: Eukaryota; Viridiplantae; Streptophyta; Magnoliopsida; Brassicales; Brassicaceae.